GGUGAAGGUAUACAAAGAGAAUAAACUAUAAAAAGAGUAAUGGACAUCAUUAUCCUAUUCCUAUGUAUGUAUGUGGUAGACUUUAGGGUUUCAUAGGUUUAGCCAAAUCGUCUUACACGCGAGGAAUGAAGAGGUAAUGCUAUCUUUUGGACUAGUAAUCUUAUUAUAUAAAGUAUGGUUUUCAAAGUUGCUAACUCAUAGGAUCGUGCCACGUGUCAAGUCAAACGAUCAGAUGUUUACAUGUGUCAUUUAAAAUUUAACUUUUUUAUU
This 270-nucleotide small RNA is filed under the name Arabidopsis thaliana (thale cress). Its description in RNAcentral is "ATSL057270". The record is from RNAcentral. Lineage: Eukaryota; Viridiplantae; Streptophyta; Magnoliopsida; Brassicales; Brassicaceae.